CUACGGGUGGCUGCAGUGGGGAAUAUUGGACAAUGGGCGAAAGCCUGAUCCAGCCAUGCCGCGUGUGUGAAGAAGGCCUUCGGGUUGUAAAGCACUUUCAGUGGGGAAGAAAGCCUUGGGGCUAAUACCCUCGAGGAAGGACAUCACCCACAGAAGAAGCACCGGCUAACUCCGUGCCAGCAGCCGCGGUAAUACGGAGGGUGUGAGCGUUAAUCGGAAUUACUGGGCGUAAAGCGCGCGUAGGCGGUCUGAUAAGCCGGUUGUGAAAGCCCCGGGCUCAACCUGGGAACGGCAUCCGGAACUGUCAGGCUAGAGUGCAGGAGAGGAAGGUAGAAUUCCCGGUGUAGCGGUGAAAUGCGUAGAGAUCGGGAGGAAUACCAGUGGCGAAGGCGGCCUUCUGGACUGACACUGACGCUGAGGUGCGAAAGCGUGGGUAGCAAACAGGAUUAGAUACCCCAGUAGUC
RNAcentral lists this ribosomal RNA (464 nucleotides) under Vreelandella stevensii. RNAcentral describes it as "partial 16S ribosomal RNA". It matches the Rfam family "Bacterial small subunit ribosomal RNA", at positions 339 to 795 of the family's 1533-position model. The record is from RNAcentral. Lineage: Bacteria; Pseudomonadati; Pseudomonadota; Gammaproteobacteria; Oceanospirillales; Halomonadaceae.